Molecule: ribosomal RNA, 305 nt
Filed under: uncultured bacterium
Lineage: Bacteria
Description: bacterial SSU rRNA
Rfam family: Bacterial small subunit ribosomal RNA
Source: RNAcentral
UUUUGCCUACGGGGGGCAGCAGUGGGGAAUAUUGCACAAUGGGCGCAAGCCUGAUGCAGCGACGCCGCGUGCGGGAUGGAGGCCUUCGGGUUGUAAACCGCUUUUGUUCAAGGGCAAGGCAGGCUUUCGGGCCUGUUGAGUGGAUUGUUCGAAUAAGCACCGGCUAACUACGUGCCAGCAGCCGCGGUAAUACGUAGGGUGCAAGCGUUAUCCGGAUUUAUUGGGCGUAAAGGGCUCGUAGGCGGUUCGUCGCGUCCGGUGUGAAAGUCCAUCGCUUAACGGUGGAUCCGCGCCGGGCACGGGCG